Molecule: ribosomal RNA, 421 nt
Filed under: Fusobacteriota bacterium
Lineage: Bacteria; Fusobacteriati; Fusobacteriota
Description: Fusobacteria bacterium partial 16S ribosomal RNA
Rfam family: Bacterial small subunit ribosomal RNA
Source: RNAcentral
UGGGGAAUAUUGCACAAUGGACGGAAGUUUGCUGCCGCGACGCCGCGUGGAGGGUGUAGGCCUUCGGGUUGUGAACUCCUUUUUCUCGCGAAAAAGGCACAGUUUUGGCUGUGUUGAUGGUAGUGGGGGAAGAAGCGCCGGCUCACUACGUGCCAGCAGCCGCGGUAAUACGUAGGGCGCGAGCGUUGUCCGGAUUUAUUGGGCGUAAAGAGCUCGUAGGUGGUUCGUCGCGUCUGUCGUGAAAGCCAGCAGCUUAAAUGUUGGUCUGAGGUGGGUACGGGCGGGAUUGAGUGCGGUAGGGGUGACUGGAAUUCCUGGUGUAGCGGUGGAAUGCGCAGAUAUCAGGAGGAACACAGAUGGCGAAGGCAGGUCACUGGGCCGUUACUGACACUGAGGAGCGAAAGCGUGGGGAGCGAACAGG